UAGCGAAGUUCCUGAUGUCACACUGCCAAGAAAAGCUUCUAGUGAGAAAGUAACUGCCCGUACCGCAAACCGACACAGGUAGUUGAGGAGAGAAUCCUAAGGUGUGCGAGAGAACUCUCGUUAAGGAACUCGGCAAAAUGACCCCGUAACUUCGGGAGAAGGGGUGCUGACCGCAAGGUCAGCCGCAGUGAAUAGGCCCAAGCGACUGUUUAUCAAAAACACAGGUCUCUGCAAAAUCGAAAGAUGACGUAUAGGGGCUGACGCCUGCCCGGUGCUGGAAGGUUAAGAGGAGAGGUUAGCGCAAGCGAAGCUUUGAAUUGAAGCCCCAGUAAACGGCGGCCGUAACCAUAACGGUCCUAAGGUAGCGAAAUUCCUUGUCGGGUAAGUUCCGACCCGCACGAAAGGCGUAACGAUUUGGGCACUGUCUCAACGAGAGACUCGGUGAAAUUAUAGUACCAGUGAAGAUGCUGGUUACCCGCGACAGGACGGAAAGACCCCAUGGAGCUUUACUGCAGUUUGAUAUUGCGUGUUUGUAUCACAUGUACAGGAUAGGUAGGAGCCGAAGAUACCGGGACGCCAGUCUCGGAGGAGGCAACGGUGGGAUACUACCCUUGUGAUAUGACCACUCUAACCCGCUGCUCUUAGCGAGCAGGGAGACAGUGUCAGACGGGCAGUUUGACUGGGGCGGUCGCCUCCAAAAAUGUAACGGAGGCGCCCAAAGGUUCCCUCAGAAUGGUUGGAAAUCAUUCGUAGAGUGUAAAGGCAGAAGGGAGCUUGACUGCGAGACCUACAAGUCGAGCAGGGACGAAAGUCGGGCUUAGUGAUCCGGUGGUUCCGCAUGGAAGGGCCAUCGCUCAACGGAUAAAAGCUACCCUGGGGAUAACAGGCUUAUCUCCCCCAAGAGUUCACAUCGACGGGGAGGUUUGGCACCUCGAUGUCGGCUCAUCGCAUCCUGGGGCUGUAGUCGGUCCCAAGGGUUGGGCUGUUCGCCCAUUAAAGCGGUACGCGAGCUGGGUUCAGAACGUCGUGAGACAGUUCGGUCCCUAUCCGUCGCGGGCGUUGGAAAUUUGAGAGGAGCUGUCCUUAGUACGAGAGGACCGGGAUGGACACACCGCUGGUGUACCAGUUGUUCUGCCAAGAGCAUCGCUGGGUAGCUAUGUGUGGACGGGAUAAACGCUGAAAGCAUCUAAGCGUGAAGCCCCCCUCAAGAUGAGAUUUCCCAUCACUUUAAGUGAGUAAGACCCCUGAGAGAUGAUCAGGUAGAUAGGUUGGGAGUGGAAGUACAGCGAUGUAUGGAGCGGACCAAUACUAAUCGGUCGAGGACUUAACC
Molecule: ribosomal RNA, 1330 nt
Filed under: metagenome
Description: bacterial LSU rRNA
Rfam family: Bacterial large subunit ribosomal RNA
Source: RNAcentral